Centruroides sculpturatus (bark scorpion) is the source of this 603-nucleotide long non-coding RNA. RefSeq lists it as uncharacterized. NCBI's taxonomy places the organism in Eukaryota, Metazoa, Arthropoda, Arachnida, Scorpiones, Buthidae. The transcript is spliced from 4 exons. The record is from RefSeq and is a predicted model, not a curated record.
CUCAGCUUUGGUUUAGAGCAAAGGAUAGAUUAGCUGGUGGGUCUUACUGACAGGCUAGUGAUGGAGCGGUGAAGAUAAGAGGCAAUUUGAUGGUCAAUGCUGUGAUGAGUGAAAGUCUUCCAGAGAGCGAAAGAAGACUCACAUGCCAACUUUUAAAAUUUCAAGAUCUAUAAAUAAACAAGAUUUAUGCUCAAGAUCUACGUUAUUAAUUGAUUUCAAACUCUAUCGUAGAACAUCCAAAAAUCAAUUUUGAACCUAAAAAUCGUAUACUUUACGAAGACGUUCCGGAUUUGACCCUGUAGGAGGAAGAAUUAAGUUGAUGUUUUUUUUCUUUUUGUAAAAAUCUCUACUUAUAAAAUCAAUGGAAUGAAAGAUGGGACGUUUGAACUUAAAAAAAGCGUGAAUUUCUUUUUUAUUUCAAGAUAUAUGAAGAGUACAUGUACUUUUUAGUCAAUAGGGAAGAGAUAUGGAAUCGACCCUAUAGACAUCUACAUGGUCGUGUCCUUCGAACAACUUUAAAGAAAAACCUGGGUGGACCUCAUCCUUUCCCUUCAAGAUGGUUCUCAUUAAUAAUUCUUGGUUGAGAAUGGGGUUAACGGACCA